This 468-nucleotide ribosomal RNA is filed under the name uncultured bacterium. Its description in RNAcentral is "partial 16S ribosomal RNA". It matches the Rfam family "Bacterial small subunit ribosomal RNA", at positions 28 to 507 of the family's 1533-position model. The record is from RNAcentral.
GACGAACGCUGGCGGCGUGCUUAACACAUGCCAGUCGAACGGAAAGGCCCUGCUUUUGUGGGGUGCUCGAGUGGCGAACGGGUGAGUAACACGUGAGUAACCUGCCCUUGACUUUGGGAUAACUUCAGGAAACUGGGGCUAAUACCGGAUAGGAGCUCCUGCUGCAUGGUGGGGGUUGGAAAGUUUCGGCGGUUGGGGAUGGACUCGCGGCUUAUCAGCUUGUUGGUGGGGUAGUGGCUUACCAAGGCUUUGACGGGUAGCGGGCCUGAGAGGGUGACCGGCCACAUUGGGACUGAGAUAAGGCCCAGGCGCCUACGGGAGGGAGCAGUGGGGAAGAUUGCAGAAUGGGCGGAAGCCGGAUGCAGCAACGCCGCGUGCGGGAUGACGGCCUUCGGGUUGUAAACCGCUUGCGCCUGUGACGAAGCGUGAGUGACGGUAAUGUGUAAAGAAGCACAGGCUUACUACGUG